CGCAUCUGCACUCGACGUGUAGCUCACUGUAUCUUGGUAGAAGGAUCCCCUUUUGAUGGAAGGGAUAGUCGAUUGUGAUGAGGAUAUAGACGAAAAUGCGCUAAAUCAAUUCUUCAGUCUACAUUCCCCGUGGCAAUUCCUUAAACCCCUCACACAUACCCAUAUGGAAUGACCUGCGUAUUCAACUUAACCCCAGUUAAUUCAAAGCCGGAGGAUGACCCACUUCCAACACACUCCAACCUUGCCGAAUGACUUCCAAAACUUGAAGUAAGCACUGCGACGCCGGAACUGGUUGAGCAACUUUGGAGUGAUCCAUCAAGACCCGCUUGCACGGAGUAGGACGUUGAGGAUGACCAGUAAAAUGCAAUAUCGCUAACUUGGAAAUCGGUCAACUAUGACUACUGAACAUUCUAGGCAACUCACAGUAUAACGAAUCUAUCUGGACGGCAAACGUUGAAGAUCCUUCACAUCCGCUUGAGCCAUUCUCAAUCUGGAACCAUGCUGAACCUGAGGCACCAUUUCGUGAAGGUGUAUAGGCUAAUAGCGACUGAUCUGGCCAUCCGCAAAUGUUCUGUGUCCCUCGCGACUUAGUCGAAUUAUGAGAUCCGGUAACCUAGCAGGGACACGCUAUUAGGCCUCGAACUGUCAUGUAUCGUUUCAUACACUUUGCACCACUAUUAUUAAAACCUUGGAAACUCGUCUUUUGGUGAUACAUCGCAAAGGAUGGACAUCAGUCACAAAGGACGGUGGUACGUGACAUUUGUCGCGGACCCUCACACCUCCGAGUCGCAUAGUUGUAAAGGAAGGAGGGUUGUAUGGAUUGUUUGGCCUUCAAUAGUGGAUUUUCCCUUCAGGACUAAGAUAUAAAUAACUCGUCGUCCACCAACAUCGGUUUUCAAACAGCAUCGAAGAACUACCUGCGAACAUAGACUAUUAAGAACAGCCUUGAAGACCUGCUACCAGCAGUGCUGUACAUUGCUUGACGCACAUAACAAACACAUACAUCAAGCAAGUCCUCUUAUAGCUGUUCACGUUACACAUGUGAGGCGCUAACUGCCAGCAGAAUGAUCGUCUAUUCCGCGGCUGGCCCUCUGGUUUCCUCCAUGCCCUUCUACACUGGCAUUCAUGGCGGUCUUUACAAUGGCUGGGGUCGAUAUGGCUUUGGACCAAAUUAUGGAACAGGUUGGACAGGAUCCUGGUACGGACCUUAUAACUACAUGUCUGGUACCUACUGGUAAUUGAGAUAGUAUCGCGUUUCCACGAUACAUUAUGUUUCAGCAGAAGAGAAAGAGGAAAUAAGUGAAAGAAGAAGUGUUUGUUGUUAUUUUACCUAUUCAUAAAGCCGUGUACAAAUAGUCGCGUUUCUGUAUCAUGACUCGAUGUAUACCGUGCCGUCCGC
Molecule: small RNA, 1399 nt
Filed under: Cryptococcus neoformans H99
Lineage: Eukaryota; Fungi; Basidiomycota; Tremellomycetes; Tremellales; Cryptococcaceae
Description: Cryptococcus neoformans var. grubii H99 hypothetical RNA
Source: RNAcentral